Molecule: ribosomal RNA, 466 nt
Filed under: uncultured bacterium
Lineage: Bacteria
Description: partial 16S ribosomal RNA
Rfam family: Bacterial small subunit ribosomal RNA
Source: RNAcentral
GAUGAACGCUGGCGGCGUGCUUAACACAUGCCAGUCGAACGGAAAGGCUCCUGCUUGCAGGGGUACUCGAGUGGCGAACGGGUGAGUAACACGUGGGUGAUCUGCCCUGCACUUCGGGAUAAGCUUGGGAAACUGGGUCUAAUACCGGAUAGGACCGCAUUUUGGAUGGUGUGGUGGAAAGUUUUUUCGGUGUGGGAUGAGCUCGCGGCCUAUCAGCUUGUUGGUGGGGUAAUGGCCUACCAAGGCGUCGACGGGUAGCCGGCCUGAGAGGGUGUACGGCCACAUUGGGACUGAGAUACGGCCCAGACUCCUACGGGAGGCAGCAGUGGGGAAUAGUGCACAAUGGGCGCAAGCCUGAUGCAGCGACGCCGCGUGGGGGAUGACGGCCUUCGGGUUGUAAACUCCUUUCGCUAGGGACGAAGAGUAAUUGACGGUACCUGGAGAAGAAGCACCGGCUAACUACGUG